Aedes aegypti (yellow fever mosquito) is the source of this 247-nucleotide long non-coding RNA. RefSeq lists it as uncharacterized. The record is from RefSeq and is a predicted model, not a curated record. Lineage: Eukaryota; Metazoa; Arthropoda; Insecta; Diptera; Culicidae. The transcript is spliced from 2 exons.
UAAAAUGACAUCCGGACAUGAACAUGAAGUGGAUGAAUGCACAACGAAAUCGUUCAUUUUUUGUAAACAUGGCCCGCAGUAAAAGGUGUUCUUCCCGAUGGAAGCAGCAGCGUGACGUCAUUGUAAAUUAGUUCAUAUGGUUACUUGGGUUAGUUCACAACGGGAGAAUCAUGGCCAGAUUUCUGCAGGUGGAUAGCCAUUGUACUAUAGCCAUCCCUGUGAUUUUCAUUUGAAGAUUUUUUUUUUU